Zophobas morio is the source of this 903-nucleotide long non-coding RNA. RefSeq lists it as uncharacterized. The record is from RefSeq and is a predicted model, not a curated record. Lineage: Eukaryota; Metazoa; Arthropoda; Insecta; Coleoptera; Tenebrionidae. The transcript is spliced from 3 exons.
UAUAUACAUGUAUGACGGAUGAUACGAAGCCCGGUAUGUAAUGCAGGCUCUCAGAAGCCCGGGCUUUCUACAUGCAAUACCGAUCUAUAAGUCGAAUAUAUCGCUUUAUUGUAAAAUGUUUAGUGGGGGCAACUUGAGAGGGGUAGAAAUUAUUUACAUACACCAAAAGCCUUACUUUGCUGUUUUAACGAAGCCAUUGAUAUACAACAUGAAAUGCGAAGCCCGGCUGUAUAAAAUGCAGAUAUUUCACAUGUGAAAUGCAACCAUGCUGCGUUGCCAUUUUGCUAUUGUUUCUCAGCCUUCUGAUGAGAUCAUUUUAAUUCUUGUGAUCGAAGUGCACGUACGAGGUGCUAGCAUGGACCACUUUAAGUUUUUGGUUAGUUUGGCUACUCAAAACGAAAUUGGUUACCCCAAGAUAUUUUUCAAACUGCAAAGGUGGCCAAAGUAUUAAUGUUGUUAGAAAAAGGCAGAGGAAGACAAUUUAUAGGAAAAAGCCUCGAUGAAAUAAAAAUAGACAAGGAUAUGUAUUUAAAUUCUGAUGACGAAGACUCUUUUCGUAAUACAGCUAGUUUUGAAAAUGUUGAAAGUGAAGAAAUUUCACAGUUUGGGCCGGAAAAUGCAGAAUGCACGGAGAGCACUUCUCAACUUAAUGCUGAACCAGGUCCUUCAAGCAUGGAAGCUGCAGUUAAAAAAGGAGGGAAGAAAAUAAAACCAUGUGGCCGCGUUCGUUGGACAGAAACUGAAAAGACAAUUGUUAUAAAAAAAACAUCAGCAUGCUUAGCUAGCAGUUCAUCACAUUCAUAUUUUUUUGGUGUGAUUUUCUUUUGAAUAUGCAGUUUGAAGUAAUCCGUAUAUUAAACAAGGAUUGGGUGCGCAUUAAAACUUUUGUGUACAAUGUGUUUA